This 492-nucleotide ribosomal RNA is filed under the name uncultured bacterium. RNAcentral describes it as "partial 16S ribosomal RNA". It matches the Rfam family "Bacterial small subunit ribosomal RNA", at positions 29 to 507 of the family's 1533-position model. The record is from RNAcentral.
AGUGAACGCUGGCGGCAGGCCUAAUACAUGCAGGUCGAACGGACGCAUAGUAAGAGCUCGCCCUUACGGGUGGCGACUGGCGGAUGGGUGAGGAGUACAUCGCAAUCUACUAUUUCGUGGGGAACACCGUAGGACAACUUACGCUAAUAGCGCAUACGACCUACGGGUGAAAUCAGAAGAUCUUGAGAGCUUGGCCGACACAAUGAGCCGAUGUCGGAUUAGCUAGUUGGCGGGGUAAAGGCCCACCAAGGCGACGAUCCGUAGCUGAUCUGAGAGGAUGAUCAGCCACACUGGAACUGAGACACGGUCCAGACUCCUACGGGAGGCAGCAGUAGGGAAUAUUGGACAAUGGGCGCAAGCCUGAUCGAGCCAUGCCGCGUGAGUGAAGAAGGUCUUCGGAUUGUAAAGCUCUUUUGUUGGGGAAGAAAAGCAGCGGAAGAAUCUCCCGCUGUUCUGACGGUACCCAAAGAGUAAGCACCGGCUAACUUCGUG